Long non-coding RNA from Vespa mandarinia (Asian giant hornet), 949 nucleotides. NCBI's taxonomy places the organism in Eukaryota, Metazoa, Arthropoda, Insecta, Hymenoptera, Vespidae. The record is from RefSeq and is a predicted model, not a curated record.
CGGUGGUAAUAGCAACAAUAAUCGACCGACCCUUCGUGCGUCACGUUCGCACAAAACUGCUACGGUUUGUUCUUGUAACGCGGUAACUCUGCCAGAUAAAUCACCAGGAACCAAAGUACUUUCUUCAACGGGAAAAUUCCAUUGGGCCGCCGUAAGUACGAACAAUUCACUCCAUGAUUCUUCUAGCAAUAUAGUUUGAUCUCGGUAUGGUAACUAAUUGAGAUAAAGAAAGAAAGAAAGAAAGAAAGAAAGAAAGAAAAGAAAAAAAAAAAAGAAGAAGAUAUUAAUGAAUUUCAUUAAUUUCGUAAUAAGAAUGAAUUUUAUUCUUACUUGUAAAAAUGAAUGUAUACUUCUGGCCCAUCUUACAGCAAAGAAUAAUAAUUUAGCUGCAAACUCGUAAACAUUUUCCGUCGGCAACAAUGAAAAACUUGACAUCGUAUAUUCCGCAGUGACAGGACUGAUGAUUUGUGGAACAAGACGAGUACCACCGACUAGUUCUUCUAAAAAUCAAAAGAAAAAAAAUUCAAUUUGAAAUGUUAAGGCUUCUUCGGAACUCGUUACCUCGUCUUCCUUCGCUGUGCUCACCGAUAAUGAUUCUGUCGAGGUUCUUGGUAAAAAAUGUGCUAAUCACAAUAAUCAAAAGUAUAAUUUUUAAUGAUGUCUCUCAUUAUCAAUACUAUUUAUCUUAUCCUAUGAUAAUAAAUAGAUAUCUAUUAUAGUUCUUACCAACGGCCGGUGCAAAUGGGGGCAUUGUCGGCUUGAAAGGAAAUAAUGCCGGAUAAAGAAGUGGAUGAUAAGGAUUGUUUGUCGUGUGAUAAACGUGAGGUAGUCCUGGAUAAAGACCAGCUGGAGCUCUUCUUGCAGCAGCCACAAGGUUCGAAGUACUUCUCGGUGCUCUUUCAUGUUGUACCGCUGAAAUCGAUAGGACAAUUUCGAUAGGACACACACA